AUUCCUUUAGUAGCGGCGAGUGAAGCGGGAACAGCCCAUCGCUGAAUCCCAGAGUCCGACCGGGCCCCGGGAGUUGUGGCGUGAGGCGGCUUCGGGCGCUCGAGUUCACGGUGCCGAGGUCCUCCUGAUCGGGGCGCCUUACCCAGAGCGGGUGUCAGGCCCGUUCAGGCGCCGGAACUCGCGAGCCUGCAGCCACCAAGAGUCGGGUAGUUUUGGAAUGCUGCCCAAAGAGGGGUGGUGAACUCCAUCCAAGGCUAAAUACUGGCACGAGACCGAUAGCAGACAAGUAC
RNAcentral lists this ribosomal RNA (290 nucleotides) under Scaphechinus mirabilis. RNAcentral describes it as "partial 28S ribosomal RNA". It matches the Rfam family "Eukaryotic large subunit ribosomal RNA", at positions 74 to 351 of the family's 3401-position model. Lineage: Eukaryota; Metazoa; Echinodermata; Echinoidea; Clypeasteroida; Scutellidae. The record is from RNAcentral.